Cinara cedri is the source of this 418-nucleotide non-coding RNA. Lineage: Eukaryota; Metazoa; Arthropoda; Insecta; Hemiptera; Aphididae. The record is from the annotation of a GenBank genome assembly.
UGUGAUUAAAACUCAUUUUAUUUAAGUUUAUAUAAUAUAAAUUUAAUAAGAUCUCUUUUAUUGCCAUUGUUUAAAAUUGAAUAGGCUAUGUUCAUUAAUUAUUAUAUAUAUCUUUAGUAAUUAUUUGAAACGGGAUUUUUUUUAAUAACUCUUAAUAGAGUAUUCACAGUAUUUUUAAACGACAAUCAUAUGCUUCACUUUAGGCAGAUAUCCUGUAUGAGUGUACUGACUGUGCAAGAGAACAGUUAACUAUACGCAUAGUAUUUGACAAUACAUUUGGCUAUCUAUAUUUACUAUAAAAAUUAAUUUCUUGAGAUUAUUUUGCCAAAUAUAUAAUUGAGUACCACAAUUACUUGUACUUAUAGUUAUGUAAUUAGUGUAAUUGUACAACCAUUUCGUUGUUCAUGUUUUAAAAAAA